RNAcentral lists this ribosomal RNA (270 nucleotides) under uncultured bacterium. RNAcentral's name for it is "partial 16S ribosomal RNA". It matches the Rfam family "Bacterial small subunit ribosomal RNA", at positions 32 to 314 of the family's 1533-position model. The record is from RNAcentral.
AAUCAACGCUGGCGGCGCGCCUAACACAUGCAAGUCGAACGAGAAAGUGGGAAACCAUGAGUACAGUGGCGUACGGGUGAGUAACACGUGGGUGAUCUACCUCUUAGUGAGGAAUAACCCUGGGAAACCGGGGCUAAUACCGCAUAAGCCUUAGCAGGGAAAGUCGAAAGACGCUGAGAGAGGAGCCCGCGGCCGAUUAGCUAGUUGGUGGGGUAAGAGCCCACCAAGGCAGAGAUCGGUAGCCGGCCUGAGAGGGCACACGGCCACACU